Magnolia sinica is the source of this 738-nucleotide long non-coding RNA. RefSeq lists it as uncharacterized. The record is from RefSeq and is a predicted model, not a curated record. Lineage: Eukaryota; Viridiplantae; Streptophyta; Magnoliopsida; Magnoliales; Magnoliaceae. The transcript has 4 exons.
CCGCAUGUGCCGAGCUCAAGACUAGCGGGGAAGUACCCAAUCCGUACAGUGAUUUUCUCUCUCAUGUUUUGGCGCGCGUUUGGAACAUCUCUCUUUCCGUAUAGAAACGGCAGACAGUCUUCUUCUCUCGCCUACUCUUCAUUUUCGAAAGCAUUCAAACCCUAAAAUGGCGUUCGCUCCAGUUCUGAAUCUCUCUCUCCUUCUCUCUCUUGCUCCUUUUCAAUCUCUAAUCCUUAUUUUCCUUCGAUUUCAGAUAAAAAAAAAUCAACCUUCCGAUUGCUCGAUGCGGCUUUCAACGGAAAUCUUCGACUCUUGAAGAAGGUCGCGGCGGAGAUUGCCGACGGGAAGGGGUUGGCAAGGACGGUUACGGAAGUUAAAGACUCGAAGGGUCGAGCGGCUCGUCAUUUAGCUGCGACCGAGGGAAUGACAGAUGUAUCCAAGUACUUGUUGGAGGAGUUUACAGAUGUCUCCAAGUACUUGAGGAGUUGAAAUUCAAUGUUGAUGUGAGAUAUGAAAAAGGUGAAACUCUAUUUCUUCAUCCGGUUCUAGGAGGGUAUUUAAGCAUGUCAAAAUAUCUUCUUGAUCCCGAUGCCAAUCCUGCUGCUACUAGUGAGUCUGGAUUCACUCCUUUGCAUUACGCUGCAGAAAAAAGGGCACACAAAAGUUACUGAGAUUGUUAAUUUCAAAAGGUGUUGAUGUGGAUCCACAACAUGAUUCUGGCACUCCAUUGCAAUGGGC